Lycium barbarum (goji berry) is the source of this 693-nucleotide long non-coding RNA. RefSeq lists it as uncharacterized. The record is from RefSeq and is a predicted model, not a curated record. NCBI's taxonomy places the organism in Eukaryota, Viridiplantae, Streptophyta, Magnoliopsida, Solanales, Solanaceae. The transcript is spliced from 2 exons.
ACUUCACACCCCACACUCUCAUUUCUCUGUCACCCGACUCCCUCGUCUCCUUCGUAAGGCGAUUUGCGAUUUCUCUAGGGGUCCCUUAACCAUGGCUAAUUCAUGGCGAUUUCCGGCCAUUUUUGUCCAAAUUCUUGAGGGCUUUUAUGACCAAUCAUGAAUACUCAUGAUUUCCAGGUACACCCAGAUGAGUAAAGGACAUUGCUAGAAGAUGCUUCAGCUGGAUUGGCAACUCCAAUUGCUCCUGGAGUGUUGUCGAGUCAGAGUAUAUGUGCUAUGAUGUUUUGUUCGAAGUUAGAGACUUUGUAGAUAGAGUCGUGGGUAUGGAAUGUCAGUGUUGUAAGCGGCUCCAUCAGCCGAUGUGUCAUUCUGUAUUAUGUGAUAAAGUCCAUAUAAUUACAGAUUUGUUGGAUUUGAGAACAAAGAAAAAGAAUAUUUCUGAAAGCCUUACCAUGUAUUUCAUGUUUAUUUGAUUUAAAGGUCCAAUAAGGUUAUGUGUGUAUUAAGAGUCAGAGGGUUCUCUCGGCUCUAAGUAAGGGUCGGGUGCCCAUCACACCCUAGCGAGAUUAGGGUGUGACAGUUUCUUUGUCUUGGUUUGACAUGAUCUUCCCCUAUCAUUUUCCUACAUUGUUGUUGUUUGCCCCUAUCACCAUGAAUCCUCUAUGGUUUCUAUGUUCCUGCUGUUGUGGCUUC